GACGUAGGGCGCGAGCGUUGUCCGGAUUUAUUGGGCGUAAAGAGCUCGUAGGCGGCUUGUCGCGUCGACUGUGAAAACCCGCGGCUCAACCGCGGGCCUGCAGUCGAUACGGGCAGGCUAGAGUUCGGUAGGGGAGACUGGAAUUCCUGGUGUAGCGGUGAAAUGCGCAGAUAUCAGGAGGAACACCGAUGGCGAAGGCACCGUCGUCCUGG
This 212-nucleotide ribosomal RNA is filed under the name uncultured bacterium. Its description in RNAcentral is "partial 16S ribosomal RNA". It matches the Rfam family "Bacterial small subunit ribosomal RNA", at positions 524 to 733 of the family's 1533-position model. The record is from RNAcentral.